GGAUCCAGGGGUGGAUGCUUGCCCAAUGGCUCAGUCUGAAAUAUUAAGGAUGCUUUAUUUGCAUGGGGAAGAACUUCAAGUGUUGUCCCUUUGUGACUGGUUGAACGCCCUCUCAAUGGGUGUUAUAGUUAUGUGGUCCAGGACAGGUAGACCCUGGCAGGGAGCUGUUUCCAACUCCUGCUGUUCUCAAUUAUGAGAAUUCCUGGGAUUUUUGAACCUGCUUCAGUCUUACCAGGUCUCCAGUCUGGUGGCACCAUCCACUUGCCCCACAAGCAAGUAUGUCACUGAGAGAGUGGUGUGUCACUGUGGGGAUGGUGUGUCACUGUGAGGGUGGACUUUGAGACCUUCCUUCUAGCUGCCUGAGAGCCAGUCGUCUUCUGUUUGACUUCGGAACAAGAUGUCGAACUCUCAACUCCUUCUCCUGCAGCACGCCUGCCUGAAUACUGCCAAGCUUUCUGCCUUGAUGAUAAUGGACUGAGCCUCUGAACUGGUUUCUUAUAGCCAGCACUGCCCUGAGCCUUCUGGUUCUGCUGGAAUGACAGGCAUUCGUCACACCAAGCUCAACAACAACUAUCACCUGAUUAAAUUACACCUUGUAAGUCACCCACUAA
Molecule: long non-coding RNA, 611 nt
Organism: Mastomys coucha (southern multimammate mouse)
Lineage: Eukaryota; Metazoa; Chordata; Mammalia; Rodentia; Muridae
Exons: 2
Source: RefSeq, a predicted model, not a curated record